This 253-nucleotide ribosomal RNA is filed under the name uncultured bacterium. Its description in RNAcentral is "partial 16S ribosomal RNA". It matches the Rfam family "Bacterial small subunit ribosomal RNA", at positions 524 to 776 of the family's 1533-position model. The record is from RNAcentral.
UACGUAGGGGGCAAGCGUUGUCCGGAAUCAUUGGGCGUAAAGCGCGCGUAGGCGGCCCGGUAAGUCCGCUGUGAAAGUCGGGGGCUCAACCCUCGGAAGCCGGUGGAUACUGUCGAGCUAGAGUACGGAAGAGGCGAGUGGAAUUCCUGGUGUAGCGGUGAAAUGCGCAGAUAUCAGGAGGAACACCAAUUGCGAAGGCAGCUCGCUGGGACGUUACUGACGCUGAGACGCGAAAGCGUGGGGAGCAAACAGG